This is an RNA transcript of Sorghum bicolor (sorghum), 2302 nucleotides long. It is a transcript of the gene named F-box protein At3g49450, with no coding region annotated. Lineage: Eukaryota; Viridiplantae; Streptophyta; Magnoliopsida; Poales; Poaceae. The record is from RefSeq and is a predicted model, not a curated record. The transcript is spliced from 3 exons.
GAGGGCUCUUGACAGCGGGCGGUAGGGCACACUUCGCCAGCACUAGUCUAGUCGUCUUCCUCCCCUCGACGAAGAGGGCCGCCGCCGCCGCUGGAGCUUGUCCGGGAAAACUCGCCCCGUCCGACCCGUCAUCGUGGGUGUAGAGGCCAUGGAAAAGGCGAGCGCCAAGCGUCGGGGGCAACGGCGAAUGUCCGAACGGCGGUAAUUGUAGUCGGCUGCCCAAGUUUGAUGCUGGGGGCGCCUGCCAAUCUCCAUGCGUCUUCAUUCAGAUCUGCAGUUUUGGUGGUGAGUGGUGACGGAUUAUUGACUGACCUGUGCUCACGGAACGGAUGGAUUCCUCCGAGAAGAGGGCCAGAGCCGCAACUGCCGCCGCCGGCCUCACCGAUGACCUCAUCGUCGACAUACUGUCUCGCCUGCCGGUCAAAUCGGUCUGCCGAUUCAAGUGCGUCUCCCGUCACUGGCACGGCCUCAUCUCUCACCCGGAGCACCGCAAGAACAUUCCCCAGACAGUAUCUGGCUUCUUCUACCCUCACUACCUGUUGAACCAAGAGGACGAGAUAACAGCUAUUCCCGAAUUCAUCCGCAUCAGGGGGACCGAAGAACCUCCAUUUCUGGACCCUUCGUUGCCCUUCUUGCCUGGCUACAGGUGGAUCCGUCCUAGGGACUGCUGCGGUGGCCUUCUCCUCAACAUGUGCUGGAAGGUGAAUCCCAGAGAUGAAUUCAAUUACGUGGUGUGCAACCCCGCUGCUGAUACAUGGGUAGUCCUGCCUGAGCCCCUUAACAACAGCCCAGUGUCUACAGUGCGUUUGGGUUUCGACCCGGCUGUCUCCUCCCACUUCCAUGUGUUCCAGCUCCUAGAGGAAGAUCAGUACGGAUAUAUCACUGGCCUGGAAAUUUACUCAUCGGAAACUGGAGCGUGGAGUCACAAGGAAAAUGGUUGGAGUGAUGAGGUUGUGCCGAUCGGGGAAAGAGGUGUCUUUAUGAAUGGAAUACUCCAUUUGAUCUCCUCUGAGUCCACUAUACUGACAGUUGACAAGGAAGGGAAGACAUGGAGGACCAUUCCUUUGCUGGAAAGUAUGAGUUUUAAAAACUUUGCUAACGGCCCUGUUGCUUUUAUUGGUCAAUCACAGGGGCGCUUGUGCUAUAUAAAUACUAGGAGACAUCUCAGUUCUAAAAUAUCAGUCUGGAUUCUUGAAGAUUAUAGUGCGGGUCAAUGGAUGUUUAAGUAUAAUGUUAGCACUUCCCAGCUUUGCGGAAAGGUGGAUCUCAUGUUCGAGCGGGAUUAUUCUUUAAUCGCAAUCCACCCAGAGUGCAACGUGAUUUUCGUUGUUUGGAAAUGUGGGAAUCUGCUAAUGUCAUAUGACAUGGAUCAUGGGAAAGUUUGUGUUAUAUGUAGUCUCACAGAGCCUAUGUAUGAUGCAUUUCUACCAUAUUUUCCAUAUGUUCCUUUUUUCUCAGACUCACUGGCUGAUCAAAACUAGAAGCCCAACACAAAAGGUGAAGAUCAACAACUGUGGCUACAAAAUGCUAUGGAUGUCUUCUCAUGGGCUGGGACUUCGGUGGUGACCAAAUUAAAUCAUGAGGAUAGGACUACAGCACAUCUUUAUAUUAUACCCAAGAAUUGUUGGAAAAGUAGAGGUGAAACUUAUCGGAAUCAGAUGAAAAUAUCAAGAAAUGUUUCCUAACUCACCCUUUUUAUUGGGUCGGAAAUCAAACUCGGAAACCAUAAUAAAGCCAAAUAUAAAUACAAAGUCAGAGUUAUCAGUCUAAUGUGUUUGGUUGAGCUGUGAAAAAGCUGCUAUGGGUUGUGAACCGUGAGAAAGCUAAAGUCAUUUGUUUGAACAGUUAUGGCUUUUGGAAAGACAUGUCCACCACCCAAUCCAUAAUUAAGAUGUGGAUCAUACAUUUGCAUAUCAUCGUGUUUCCGAUGGAAUGAUUUACGACUGAUGGUGGGUCAUUUGUGGAAUUCUACUUUUAUUCAAUGUCAGAAGACUGUUAUUUCUGAAGAGAGAAAAGAAGAUGGUGCAGUAGUUUACACGGUCUUUUGGUCUUUUUCUGUUAUUUUCAAGUUACAUGGCUUAUCGGCAGGCGCCAGAAGGCCUUAACAAGGAUGUGCUUUUGUGUGUGGAAGCAGACGUUUAUACUAAGGGCCCAUUUGGAUCCUAGAAACUGAAUCUUGUUCUUCAGUAAUAAGAUUCCAGCAAUUGCUUUCAAAGAUGGUAGAUUUUUGUUGGAAACUACUAGUAUUCUUGUCUGGGUGUACAUAGAAUUUAUCUCCAAGAAUGAUAGAUUACAAAAGCUA